This is a long non-coding RNA of Triticum aestivum (bread wheat), 720 nucleotides long. RefSeq lists it as uncharacterized. The transcript has 6 exons. The record is from RefSeq and is a predicted model, not a curated record. Lineage: Eukaryota; Viridiplantae; Streptophyta; Magnoliopsida; Poales; Poaceae.
CCUGCCUCGACCUUUAGGACUGGUGAGAUAUUUGAAGCUCUACGCUUGUGUGCACUAAAAUGGAGAGCAUCUCCUUUUUUUAAUGGUGAUGCGCCGAGAAUGUGGCCAAGGGGAUCCUGUGGUGCGGGGUGAUGACCGUGGACAGGCUCUUCUGGGGGAAUGAGGUGCUCCGGAAGAGGAUACAACCCGGCGAUACUGAGGCUGUGGUCAGCCUAGAGAUGCGCAUGCGUAUCAAAAGAUGACGAGCGUGGCAAUCUCGGCGGGCUCGCUAAAGUCAGGGGAAGGAGAGAAACAAUGGGGAAGGGAGCAUAACAUGGAUGUGGGGCAGGAGAGGCCGUGGUCGGAGCGGCAUUGCGUGGGCAUAUUGGGUAUUAUUUGAGCUGAUACUCCAUUUUCUUACAAGAGAUGUGGUCCCGUCGAUGUUGGCUGUCGAAUUUGUGCUGCAGUCCAUGCCCACCACAUCCGAGUGUUCGCCCCUUCGUCAUCCAACACGAACAGCAGAACAGAGUAGCAGUUGUGAUUUGCCAGGUUGGAGAACUGACGCAGCUUGCUGCCACAGAGUGCUCGCCCUUCUUCUGUGCCAUAAAGCCCCUCGGUCGAAACUUGCAAAUCAAAAUUGCCGACCCUGUCAAUCUCGCUGGAACGACGUCUAGCUCGUUGUGCUCCACUCACUGAGCAGCCUGGUUGGGUGGUGACGUUUCCGAGUGGCCAAGCAAGAGC